UUAGCCAUGCUUAGUUCAACUAGUACAUAAAUAGGGAUCACAUUAUUACAUAGACUUUGACUAUUAGCAUAGCUUCGGAUUGGUGCCACCGCAAGGGUGUUAGUUAAUUAAAGGGGCAAUUGUGUUCUUGCCCCUACUUUGCAGUUCAAUUGUGAUUUUACCCCUGUUUUUAGGGUUUGUGAUUUUGCCCCUACUUUUUUGAAAUGAAGCACCCGUUUGCCCCUUUUUUUUGACGGUAGUUUGAUGGGCCCGAAAUUUCCCAAUAAAGCGAAGAAAGAAAAUGAUAUUAUAAUUUGUGAAUGACCAUUCUACCCUUGGUUUACUAAAAGGGCUUACCAUUAACCACUUCUCUUGCUGGAACGAUUUCCCCAAAUCGAAAACCUAGCGACAAGCGGCGGCGGCGGCGGCGACGGGCGCGGCAGGGAGGCGCGGCGGCCCCGCGGGCCAGCGCGCGGCAGGGAGACGUGGCGGCCCGGUGGUCCAACUGCCAUGGGCCAGCGCGCAGGAGGGCGCAGCGCGGCGGGCGCACGCGCAGGGAUCAAGACUUUUGUAAUUCAGGGGGAGGAGGACACCUGCAGCUUCGUCUUCCUCUGUCAGUGCCUUCGCUACCGCCUCCGAUUCGCAGAGGCUAGCCGGGAAGGUCGUCGUCAUCACCGGCGGCGCCAGCGGCAUCGGCAGGGCGACGGCGGAGGAGUUUAUUGUCCCAAAUAAUGUGUUCUAAUCAUAUGACGGAGAGGGUGUACAUAUUGUCCCAAAUAAUGUGUUCUGUCAUCUUUUUUAAAUUAUGUCAAAAUUAUUGCUAAAAUUCUGUCAAAACUAUCCUAAAUAUUGUGUUCUGUCAACUUGUACAAAAUUUAUCAACAUUUAGGUCCCAUAUGAAAAAUACGCACGAAUUUAACUUGAAACAUGUCCAAUGUUCAUGCCAAAAUUAUAGUAGGGGUAUAUUUGUCCAUUCACCACAUAUUUAACACCAUUAUAAUGAGGUAACAGAGUAGGGGCAAGCGGCUGCUUCAUUUAAAAAAAGCAGGGGCAAAAUCACAAACCCUAAAAAGUAGGGGUAAAAUCACAAUUGAACUGUAAAGCAAGGGUAAGAACACAA
Long non-coding RNA from Oryza sativa Japonica Group (Japanese rice), 1099 nucleotides. RefSeq lists it as uncharacterized. Lineage: Eukaryota; Viridiplantae; Streptophyta; Magnoliopsida; Poales; Poaceae. The record is from RefSeq and is a predicted model, not a curated record.